Molecule: ribosomal RNA, 253 nt
Filed under: uncultured bacterium
Lineage: Bacteria
Description: partial 16S ribosomal RNA
Rfam family: Bacterial small subunit ribosomal RNA
Source: RNAcentral
UACGUAGGGUGCAAGCGUUAAUCGGAAUUACUGGGCGUAAAGCGUGCGCAGGCGGUUAUGCAAGACAGAUGUGAAAUCCCCGGGCUUAACCUGGGAACUGCAUUUGUGACUGCAUAGCUGGAGUACGGCAGAGGGGGAUGGAAUUCCGCGUGUAGCAGUGAAAUGUGUAGAGAUGUGGAGGAACACCGAUGGCGAAGGCAGCCCCCUGGGCUAACACUGACGCUCAGGCACGAAAGCGUGGGGAGCAAACAGG